GGCUUGGUGUUGGGGCUCGGCCUCCCGCCCUCUACAGGCGCGGCCGGCUCUGAAAAUCAGUGGCGGUCUCGCUGCAGCCUCCCUUGCGUAGUAACACAUCUCGCACUGGAGCGUGGCGUGGCCAUGCCGUCAAAAUCGUGACCUUAGGGCACAUUCUGAAGGUUGACCUCGGAUCAGGUAGGGAUACCCGCUGAACUUAA
This 200-nucleotide unclassified non-coding RNA is filed under the name soil metagenome. RNAcentral describes it as "partial contains internal transcribed spacer 2 and large subunit ribosomal RNA". The record is from RNAcentral.